This 867-nucleotide ribosomal RNA is filed under the name uncultured bacterium. Its description in RNAcentral is "bacterial SSU rRNA". It matches the Rfam family "Bacterial small subunit ribosomal RNA", at positions 21 to 877 of the family's 1533-position model. The record is from RNAcentral.
GGCUCAGGACGAACGCUGGCGGCGUGCUUAAUGAAUGCGAGUCGAGCGAGAAUCAGAUGAGUGCUUGCACAAGUCUGAGGACAGCGGCGAACGGGUGAGUAACACGUGGGUAACCUGCCCCCCAGUCGGGGACAACAGUGGGAAACUACUGCUAAUCCCCGAUAGUCUGUCGCAACGCAAGUUGCGACAGUAAAGGCUUCGGUCGCUGAGGGAUGGGCCUGCGGUCCAUUAGCUUGUUGGUGAGGUAACGGCCCACCAAGGCGACGAUGGAUAGCCGGUCUGAGAGGAUGGUCGGCCACACUGGGACUGAGACAUGGUCCAGACUCCUCCGGGAGUUAGCAUCAGGGAAUCUUGCGCAAUGGGCGAAAGCCUGACGCAGCGACGCCGCGUGAGGGAUGAAGGUCUGCGGAUCGUAAACCUCUGUCUAGAGGGACGAAUGCCCUACUCGGUAGGGAGUGACGGUACCUCUGGAGGAAGCCCCGGCUAACUACGUGCCAGCAGCCGCGGUAAUACGUAGGGGGCCAGCGUUGUCCGGAUUUACUGGGCGUAAAGAGCGCGUAGGCGGUUUGGUUAGCGGAGGGUGAAAUCCCGGGGCUCAACUCCGGGGCUGCUCUCCGAACUGCCAGACUAGAGUACGGGAGAGGGCAGUGGAAUUCCUGGUGUAGCGGUGGAAUGCGUAAAUAUCAGGAGGAACACCUGUGGCGAAGGCUGCUGCCUGGAACGUUACUGACGCUGAGGCGCGAAAGCUAGGGGAGCGAACGGGAUUAGAUACCCCGGUAGUCCUAGCUGUAAACGAUGGACACUAGGUGUUGCCGGCAUCGACCCCGGCAGUGCUGUUCUGCUAACGCGUUAAGUGUCCCGCCUGGG